UUUUAACAAAUAAUGCUUUAGGAAUAUAUUCUCCCCUAACAUCCUGCUCCUUUUUACUUCCCAGGUAUAAAAGCCAACAACAACACAGCGUGCAUGUUUUAUGUCAAAUAGAAAGAACUGCUCCAGGGAAUUGUUGGCCUCAAACUCCACAGACUUCAUCCCCGACUGGCACAAGACACAUCACAAUUCUGGAAACUGCGUAACCAGCAGGGAUUCACUAUGCACACAGCACGCUUACCUAGCCCCCAGGAACAGCUGAGCCAAGAGAGAGAAGGACUAAAGCAACCCUUGUGCCGUGCAGUCACGACCGAGACGCCGACAUACUGUUUGGAGCAAUGGAGCGGAACAAGCGACGCAGAAGAAGGAAUCCUGGAGGAGCAUAAAAACUGUAAGGAGCCGCGUGGACCCCUGCCGAUGCUGCCUGCGAGGGGAGACACCUGA
Molecule: long non-coding RNA, 441 nt
Filed under: Dromaius novaehollandiae (emu)
Lineage: Eukaryota; Metazoa; Chordata; Aves; Casuariiformes; Dromaiidae
Description: lncRNA (ENSDNVG00000010974.1)
Source: RNAcentral